GCAAGUCGAACGAAGCCAGGGUGCUUGCACCCGAAGCUUAGUGGCGAACGGUCGCGUAACACGUAAGCAACCUGCCCCAAAGUGGGGGAUAGCCCUCCGAAAGGAGGAUUAAUACCGCAUAUGGAUACUUUGAUGCAUGUUUUAGUAUCUAAAGCAGCAAUGCGCUUUGGGAUGGGCUUGCGGCCUAUCAGCUAGUUGGUGAGGUAACGGCUCACCAAGGCGACGACGGGUAGCUGGUCUGAGAGGAUGGUCAGCCGGACUGGGACUGAGAUACGGCCCAGACUCCUACGGGGGGCAGCAAUUAGGAAUCUUGCGCAAUGGGGGAAACCCUGACGCAGCGACGCCGCGUGAAGGAUGACAGCCUUCGGGUUGUAAACUUCUCUUAAGAAGGAAGAAUAAAAUGACGGUACUUCUUGAAUAAGCCCCGGCUAACUACGUGCCAGCAGCCGCGGUAAUACGUAGGGGGCGAGCGUUGUCCGAAUUUACUGGGCGUAAAGCGCGCGUAGGCGGACCUUUAAGUGGAGGGUGAAAUCUUGGGGCUCAACCCCAAAACUGCCUUUCAAACUGUGGGUCUUGAGGUAUGGAGAGGGAAGUGGAAUUCCUGGUGUAGCGGUGAAAUGCGUAGAUAUCAGGAGGAACACCCGUGGCGAAGGCGGCUUCCUGGCCAUAUACUGACGCUGAGGUGCGAAAGCUAGGGGAGCGAACGGGAUUAGAUACCCCGGUAGUCCUAGCCGUAAACGAUGGAUACUAGGUGUUAGUGGUAUCGACCCCACUAGUGCCGCAGCUAACGCAAUAAGUAUCCCGCCUGGGGAGUACGGCCGCAAGGUUGAAACUCAAAGGAAUUGACGGGGGGCCCGCACAAGCGGUGGAGCAUGUGGUUUAAUUCGUCAUUAAC
This 895-nucleotide ribosomal RNA is filed under the name uncultured bacterium. Its description in RNAcentral is "bacterial SSU rRNA". It matches the Rfam family "Bacterial small subunit ribosomal RNA", at positions 57 to 961 of the family's 1533-position model. The record is from RNAcentral.